UGAAGAUCACAUAAAAAUAUUUGGAAAAAUCAGAACUAUGGAUUGCAAUAUACAAAAGAUAAAUCAGAAGUUAUCAGAGUGAUCUAUGGAUGAUUUCACCUUGUACACCCGGGAAAAUUGUGAAAAUGAUGGUAAGUAUUUUUUUAUUUAUACCCAGAUAUCCCAGAUGAUUUCAGAUAACCAUUAUAGAUAAAUACCAGCAGAUACUCAAUGAAAUUUUCGCUUUUAGAAAGCAUUACAGGCACGGGGCUGAACACUUUUUUUAGGCACAAUUCUAACUUUGUUUACACCCCCGAGAGAUCCGAAAGGAAUUUGUUUAUGAAUUGAAAAAGGCAUGAACUAACAUAAUAGUUUUAUCUGUAAGUAAACAUGACACAAUACAGUCUUUGUUAUGUAAUUAUCACUCCGGUUUACAGGAAUAACUGAUAAUCAAGGGAGAUAACACACUCAUACGAGUAAAGUGAAAUACAUCAUCAUCAUGUGCUUUUAUCCAAUAAUUUGACCCAUGGUCAGUCAGUAGAUAUCAUAUGCAGUUAAUAAACAGACAAACAUGUACAUGUAUUAAAGAAAUCAUGAAUUAUUAUUUGUAAUGCACACUAGCAAAUCACAAGAUAUUGUCUUUUCUCAGUGAAAAAGGGGGAGGGUCAACAAACCUUUUCGAAAACAAUAUUGCUGCACCUUUUCAACUAUUAAGCUAGUUAGCUACCACUCGUUGCUUCUAAUAUAAAAGAUUUAAAUGAAGGUUGAUAAGCCACAAGGGAGAAGCAUUUUUCUUUCUUUGCGAUAAAACGUUCAAGAAUUUGAUUUUUGCUCUCUCAAUAAUACUUAUGUAUUUCAAACCAAAUAAUAACACAGCCUGAGUAAUUUUUUUGUCUUAUUUCAGUUCCAGAGUCAUAUCAUUACUUUUUAACCUGAGAUGACAAACUAGAGGUUUUAAAAGGUCCUGAAUAACUG
RNAcentral lists this long non-coding RNA (954 nucleotides) under Mytilus galloprovincialis (Mediterranean mussel). The record is from RNAcentral. Lineage: Eukaryota; Metazoa; Mollusca; Bivalvia; Mytilida; Mytilidae.